RNAcentral lists this ribosomal RNA (325 nucleotides) under uncultured archaeon. RNAcentral's name for it is "bacterial SSU rRNA". It matches the Rfam family "Archaeal small subunit ribosomal RNA", at positions 333 to 656 of the family's 1478-position model. The record is from RNAcentral.
CUACAGGCGAAAAACAUAUGCAAUAGUGGAAGGCGAGACAGGGGUGCUGUGAAGUGAUUCCCGCUAAGGGGUUCUUUUGGCACAUUAUAAUAAUGGUGCAGAAUAAGGGGUUGGGCAAGUUUGGUGUCAGCCACAACGGUAAUACCAGCACCAUGAGUGGUUGGGAUGAAUAAUUGUGCAUAAAGCAUCCGUAACCGGUUCUGCAAGUCCUCCGUUAAAUCCAACCGCUCAACGGAUGGGCCGCGGAGGAUACUAUAGGACUUGGAGGCGGGAGAGGCAAGCGGUACUCAGUGGGUAGGGGUAAAAUCCUUUGAUCCAUUGAAGA